This is a non-coding RNA of Picea glauca (white spruce), 46 nucleotides long. The record is from Rfam. Lineage: Eukaryota; Viridiplantae; Streptophyta; Pinopsida; Pinales; Pinaceae.
UUAAUGGUGUCUUUAGACACCACCGAUAUUCUAUGAAGUUAUUUCU